Long non-coding RNA from Astyanax mexicanus (Mexican tetra), 631 nucleotides. RefSeq lists it as uncharacterized. The transcript is spliced from 3 exons. The record is from RefSeq and is a predicted model, not a curated record. Lineage: Eukaryota; Metazoa; Chordata; Actinopteri; Characiformes; Acestrorhamphidae.
AACACAAAAUAAUUACAGGAGCAAUAAAAUAAAAAAGAGAAGUGAAUAAAAAUAAAAGGAAGCACACAAAUAAAUUAGAAGAAAGAACUGCCCAGAGGGUGGUGCAGUUUCUCCUAGAGAACACUUCAUUUUUUUGCACAGACGGUGGUGCUGUUUCUCCCAGAAAAAGCACCAUCUAAAUCCUGAAACUUGCAACAGAAAAAGAAAAAGAAGGUGGCUUAAAAAUAAAAAGAGAGUGAUGAAAAAUAAAAAAGAGUGCAAGCUAAAUGCUAAAGCUAACACGCACAGGAUUAUGGGAUCUUGAGUUCGGAAACCCACAGGAAACAUGGCCAGCGGGAGAAAUCACUGUUAUUGGGAUUUUACUGCUCGUAAUGUCCUCUUUGUUUGUGUGUUUGGAGCACCAACUGACAAGGAAGACUUUUACUCCCAUCUCUCAAAAACUCAUCCCUGUACUGUCCAUCCAUAGUCCAGAGCCUAUAGGUGAUGCGGCUGAUUGGUUAGACUGAUGCAGGGGGAUGACUCUUUCUCGUUCCACGCUCCCUGGCCAGCCAGUCAGAGAAAUGGACACGUUUGGCAUAUUUGCUGUUCAUUUGUUGCUCUUUUAUAAUGUUUUUGGUUAGAGGAGAUUUUU